This is a long non-coding RNA of Olea europaea var. sylvestris, 1293 nucleotides long. RefSeq lists it as uncharacterized. NCBI's taxonomy places the organism in Eukaryota, Viridiplantae, Streptophyta, Magnoliopsida, Lamiales, Oleaceae. The record is from RefSeq and is a predicted model, not a curated record. The transcript has 3 exons.
AAAACUCUGAAGUUCAAUCAAAAGCCACUCACUCACGUGACUCAACAUCCCUAACCUAUCUUCCAUGUCUCUCUCACGCCCACAGUCCCACGGCGCGGCCUCUCUAAUUUUCUCACCAAAUCAUCGAUAUUGCCCAACGUCGAUAGCCGAUUUUCCAUGGUCAAGGGUCGUUGGUUAUAUGGAGACCGAAGACCCAGAAGAAUUUUUAGAAAGAGAAAGAAAUAAUUUCGGAGGAAGAGAGGAAUUUAGAGAAAGAAUGAUUUAGAUUUGAAUUGUGGUGACCGAAGACCCAGAAAAACAGGCGCCCAAUAGUCGUCUCCAAGUUUUUUUUUCAUCGUUUUGGGCAAGUCUUGGAGGGGUUUUUGGUAGUCCGAAUAACGAUCAAGAAGAAAAAGAAGAAGAUUUAGAAAUGGCUUCAAAAGCUGUUGUUAAAGAACAACCCAGAGGCGACAAUAGUUGAGUAAUACACUUAAAUCUGGAGGCGGCUAAAUUAUUGGACAUGGGAUGGAUGAUUGUUGUGAUGUGGUCGAGACUGAAAAUCUGACUGUUAUCGGUAUGUUUUGUGUUAGAGAUUCCAUUUAUUGGCUUUCUUCUUGUUACACUUUUUUAACCAGAUUUUGUAGAUAUAGAAUUUAAAUUUCAGUAACAUGAUAUAUAUAAAUUUACUCAACAUUCUGUAACUUCGCUUUUUCCACAGUGGUUUUUCCACAUUUUUUGUUUUACAUGGUGUUAACUAGAAGGAGAGUUGAAACAGGGUGAAGUAGGGGAAGUGUGGUAAGAGUUGAGAAGGGGAGGAAAUGGCUGAGAUUGCUACUAUCUGAAGUAGGGAGGUCAAAGUCACUAGACGGAGUUUCUACUGGGCAGCAGCGAUAGUGCCAACCUGGGGAAGCAUUGGCGGAAUGGAGGUCUUCUUGGCAUUAGUCAAGUGUUAUCUCAGCAUGAUAUUAGUCACGUGUUAUCUCUGUAUUUUUGUCUUACACUUACGCCUUGAGGCAUUCAUCACAUGAGAAAUCAAGAUGCUGGAUUGAGGAGGAAAAUCUGCAGACAGAUACAGGGAUUGAUACAUAAAAACUGUCAACAAGCCUGAAGUGAUUGACAUUAUAUUGCCCUUAUUUAUUGAAAGUCUAGAAGAGGGUGAUGCUUUAACUCUUGUUAUUUAUUGACCUUUUUACUUGUGUAAGAAAGAAAAACAUGCCUAUAUUUUUCUUUGCUUUUAGAAUUUUAGAUCUGGAUUUUGUACGGAUAUUGUUACAUUUUUUAGUUCAAUUAAUAAUUACUAUUGGAGUUAUUUGA